AGCGAACGCUGGCGGCAGGCCUAACACAUGCAAGUCGAACGAACUCUUCGGAGUUAGUGGCGGACGGGUGAGUAACACGUGGGAACGUGCCUUUAGGUUCGGAAUAACUCAGGGAAACUUGUGCUAAUACCGAAUGUGCCCUUCGGGGGAAAGAUUUAUCGCCUUUAGAGCGGCCCGCGUCUGAUUAGCUAGUUGGUGAGGUAAAGGCUCACCAAGGCGAUGAUCAGUAGCUGGUCUGAGAGGAUGAUCAGCCACAUUGGGACUGAGACACGGCCCAAACUCCUACGGGAGGCAGCAGUGGGGAAUCUUGCGCAAUGGGCGAAAGCCUGACGCAGCCAUGCCGCGUGAAUGAUGAAGGUCUUAGGAUUGUAAAAUUCUUUCACCGGGGACGAUAAUGACGGUACCCGGAGAAGAAGCCCCGGCUAACUUCGUG
This 433-nucleotide ribosomal RNA is filed under the name uncultured bacterium. RNAcentral's name for it is "partial 16S ribosomal RNA". It matches the Rfam family "Bacterial small subunit ribosomal RNA", at positions 29 to 507 of the family's 1533-position model. The record is from RNAcentral.